CCUACGGGAUGCUGCAGUGGGGAAUAUUGGACAAUGGGCGAAAGCCUGAUCCAGCCAUGCCGCGUGUGUGAAGAAGGCCUUCGGGUUGUAAAGCACUUUCAGUGGGGAAGAAAGCCUUGGGGCUAAUACCCUCGAGGAAGGACAUCACCCACAGAAGAAGCACCGGCUAACUCCGUGCCAGCAGCCGCGGUAAUACGGAGGGUGCGAGCGUUAAUCGGAAUUACUGGGCGUAAAGCGCGCGUAGGCGGUCUGAUAAGCCGGUUGUGAAAGCCCCGGGCUCAACCUGGGAACGGCAUCCGGAACUGUCAGGCUAGAGUGCAGGAGAGGAAGGUAGAAUUCCCGGUGUAGCGGUGAAAUGCGUAGAGAUCGGGAGGAAUACCAGUGGCGAAGGCGGACUUCUGGACUGACACUGACGCUGAGGUGCGAAAGCGUGGGUAGCAAACAGGAUUAGAUACCCCGAUAGUC
RNAcentral lists this ribosomal RNA (465 nucleotides) under Vreelandella stevensii. RNAcentral's name for it is "partial 16S ribosomal RNA". It matches the Rfam family "Bacterial small subunit ribosomal RNA", at positions 338 to 795 of the family's 1533-position model. Lineage: Bacteria; Pseudomonadati; Pseudomonadota; Gammaproteobacteria; Oceanospirillales; Halomonadaceae. The record is from RNAcentral.